UGGGGAAUUUUGGACAAUGGGCGCAAGCCUGAUCCAGCCAUGCCGCGUGCAGGAUGAAGGCCUUCGGGUUGUAAACUGCUUUUGUACGGAACGAAAAGGUGCCUUCUAAUAAAGGGCGCUCAUGACGGUACCGUAAGAAUAAGCACCGGCUAACUACGUGCCAGCAGCCGCGGUAAUACGUAGGGUGCGAGCGUUAAUCGGAAUUACUGGGCGUAAAGCGCGCGCAGGCGGCUUUGUAAGACAGAUGUGAAAUCCCCGGGCUCAACCUGGGAACUGCAUUUGUGACUGCAAGGCUAGAGUGCGUCAGAGGGAGGUGGAAUUCCGCGUGUAGCAGUGAAAUGCGUAGAGAUGCGGAGGAACACCGAUGGCGAAGGCAGCCUCCUGGGAUGACACUGACGCUCAUGCACGAAAGCGUGGGGAGCAAACA
This 427-nucleotide ribosomal RNA is filed under the name uncultured bacterium. RNAcentral describes it as "bacterial SSU rRNA". It matches the Rfam family "Bacterial small subunit ribosomal RNA", at positions 355 to 774 of the family's 1533-position model. The record is from RNAcentral.